AUGGGGACCAGUAUCAGCUUUACCUUCAUCCUUAGCACUGAAAUGUUUACCAAUCUCUUCUCCAUUCCAGAACCAGGAACCAACAUUGGCCUCCUCUCCAGCCCCAAAGCAGCUCCUGGCCUAGCCUUACAGCUGGUCCCAGCCACAGGCUCCAACUUCUCAGCACAGGAUGGGGGACCAGUAUCAGCUUUACCUUCAUCCUUAGCACUGAAAUGUUUACCAAUCUCUUCUCCAUUCCAGAACCAGGAACCAACAUUGGCCUCCUCUCCAGCCCCAAAGCAGGUAUCAGUACGAGUCUUAUCUUUACCUGUAAACCUGGACUCAGCAGUAGCCUGAGCCGCAGAACAAAAUCGAGCUGCUCUAUUGGCCUCAUCUUCAGCUUUGGGACGGACAUCUGGCAGAUGUUCUUUCAUCUCAGUAACAAUCUUGUUCUUAGACGCUGGCUUCACCACUGCCACUGCAUCUGCCCGGGGCCCUGCCUUGCUUAUUGCUUUGGCCUGGGUUUUGGCUGCACCAGUAGCCUCCCUCUUUCCUUCAGCUGAUCUGACUGUAUCAGUGGCCUCCCUUUUUCCUUCAGCUUCUACAACAGCCCUUUUUCAGUUUUGCCUUCUUUUAUUCUCAUUCUUUCUAUUCCUAUUCCUUCUAUUCUUAGCUCCAGGCAUAGCUGAAGCCUAGUUAUAUAGAUAGCUCUACACAGUCUUGGCCUUGGUUCUCAAUAUGUCUUGGGUCAGUGUCCUAAUAUUCUUUUACUAGGUUGAAGGUGAUGAUCUUCUGUCACUCCAAAGCCACCACAGCUAGCACUGGAGAUAGACCUGAGGUGGAAGAAGAAAACAAGCUUUCAGUCUCUUCCAACUGCAUUUUUCUAUGCACAAAGUCACACAGGACGUAAGACUACAGAUGGAUUGUAUGGUAAUAGUAGAAUAGUAGAAAAUGUUUUACCUCGUUUUAUCCCUACCAUAGUCCCACUAAUGCCCAACAAUGCCCUGUCCAGACACUUCUCUUUCCUCUGCAUCAAAUAGGAACAGAGAUGAUGAGAAAGUUUGGUGAAAGUGAGCAAGACUAAGGGGUACAGCCCUUUGGAAUAUACCACUAUACUCCACAGGUCUAUCCUGGUAUGCCUCACACCAACCUGCACUGAUAUGGUGGACUUUUCUCCUCUCUUGUUUCUGUGUUGACAAGCCCUAUAGCCAACUCACAGGUGGACCUAUGAACAAAAACACAGAAGGGAUUGGAACUUUAAGCAUUUGGUAGAUAUGCACUCUGGCUUCUAAACCCAGUACCUGCCUUUCCAAAUCUAGAGCUUUGUUUCUGGCCUCCUUGAUCUUCUUCCAUGUUACCCUUCUCUACUUCCUGGGUAUCUAUCAAUUACCCUAUAGUCACAACGUGUCUUAUCAUAUCCCCAUUUCCCAUACAUAAAUGUGAGGGCAAAGGUGUGUGCGGUUGGAAUACAAUGGCUUCAAGAUAUGAUCUAGUCUUACUUGUCAAUAGCCAAUUCCCACUCUCAAUCAAUGAGGGUGCUCAUGCUCCCACUCACCUUGGAUUCAAAUGAAUAGCUUUCGUCUUCUUUCCUAAUCAAAUUCAAAGAGAACAGCUACCUGCAGAUUUCUACAGGACUCUGAAAAGAACAAACCUAUGAAAGACAAAAAAAUAAGAAAGAAAACAGAAGAGACUGAGAUGACCCAACACCCAUCACAAGUGUUACAACACACACUUCUGUAUAUUCAAGGCCAUGAAAAAUGUCUCCCAUCUCUGCUCUUCCCAAGUGAUCUCCCAUCCACCCCUGCUAGAGACCUGCAGCUUGUCUAAUCAUACCUUCCAACUCUAAAGUCAGUCAU
Molecule: long non-coding RNA, 1835 nt
Organism: Bos grunniens (domestic yak)
Lineage: Eukaryota; Metazoa; Chordata; Mammalia; Artiodactyla; Bovidae
Source: Ensembl